UCCAAAAUGGUCUAGUGGCUAGGAUUUGCCGCUCUCAUCAGAGCAACUGUAGUGCCGGCAAGGCCGGGGUUCGAUUCCCCGUUUUGGAA
Molecule: non-coding RNA, 89 nt
Organism: Clathrospora elynae
Lineage: Eukaryota; Fungi; Ascomycota; Dothideomycetes; Pleosporales; Diademaceae
Source: the annotation of a GenBank genome assembly